UACGGGUAGGAGGCAAGCGUUGUCCGGAAUUGACUGGGCGUAAAGCGCGUGUAGGUGGUGGGACAAGUCUGCUGUGAAAGCGACCUGGCUUAACCGGGCGAGGUCGGCGGAAACUGUCCGACUCGAGGACGGUAGAGGGGGGUGGAAUUCCCGGUGUAGUGGUGAAAUGCGAUAGAGAUCGGGAGGAACACCUGUGGCGAAGGCGGGCCCCCUGGGCCGGCCCUGGACACUGAGACGCGAAGGCGUGGGGAGCGAACAGG
RNAcentral lists this ribosomal RNA (260 nucleotides) under uncultured bacterium. RNAcentral's name for it is "partial 16S ribosomal RNA". It matches the Rfam family "Bacterial small subunit ribosomal RNA", at positions 522 to 776 of the family's 1533-position model. The record is from RNAcentral.